CUGAAAGAGAUGGUGUCAUCGC
RNAcentral lists this non-coding RNA (22 nucleotides) under Rattus norvegicus (Norway rat). The record is from RNAcentral. Lineage: Eukaryota; Metazoa; Chordata; Mammalia; Rodentia; Muridae.